Mercenaria mercenaria is the source of this 1152-nucleotide long non-coding RNA. RefSeq lists it as uncharacterized. The transcript has 3 exons. NCBI's taxonomy places the organism in Eukaryota, Metazoa, Mollusca, Bivalvia, Venerida, Veneridae. The record is from RefSeq and is a predicted model, not a curated record.
GCGCCAAUGUCUGUUUUCCGUUUAUUUUUUAAAAGGUUGCGCGUUUUUUUUUCAGGAACCAAUGGAUUCAGAUACAGAAAGUAACAUGGUAGACAUGUACAUAUUUAAAGCAAGUGGAAACCUUUAAAGUAAGUAAAAUAUGUUAUAUAUCUUUAUUUCUUUUUUAAAUAGUUGGAAUGUUUGGACAAAAGGUUAUAUAAUUUCAUAAUACUUUAAGUUAUUACCUUGGCGUGUAGAAAUGUACAUAAAUUCUAGAUACAAUCAAUUAUGUCUUAAAGACAACAUCUCAACACAAACAGGCUCUAUAAAGACCGUCGUUUUUUUGUUGUUUUUUUUUUUUUUUUUUUUUUUUUUUUUUGCUGACAAAAUGUAUUUUACCUGUCAAAAAAAGAAUUCUCAUGAGUGAAAUUUACAUUUCUUUUUAGAUUAUUAUAUGUUAGUAGAAGUGCACCAUAUGAUGUAAGACCUUUUCUUUUGAUAAUACAAAGAAAAUUCUAUAGCACAACUGACAUACUUAAUACUUGUUUAGCAAUGCACGUAAAUUUAACGAAAACGUCAGUAUUUAAAAUAUCGGUAUGUUUAAAUAUGCACUCCUCAGAAGAGCUGAUUUUCAUACGUGUGUAUUUUUAUAUUGUUUUUAGAGAACGAACAACUAAACUAAGAAUUAUGUGCACAUCACAGGAUAUUGACGUCAAUGGAAACAAAAUGUUUGUACUAGUUGAUCGCAGGAAUAUUGAUGAAAAAGUUAAAAGACAUUCAGUGAUAGGGAUGAAGUGGAGGCCUUAUCAAUAAACAAAGAGUCCCCAGUUCAGGAAAUGGUACAGCGCUGAGAGUAUUUUUAAAGUUAAGAAAGGUGAAAUGUAUAAAGUGAGAUUUCAUGAAGAUGGUUCCUAGUAAGUCCGGAAUAUGGCUCGUAUUCGAAGAAAAAAAUGUGAUUGUUUGUAAAAGCAGUUUAUAUAGUUUGAGCUUUUAAUCAAAAUGUUGUUCUUUCUUUAUAUUCAACGGAUGUGUUUUUGUAGUGCAAGUUAGCAUAACCUUAAAAAGAGAUGCAGGCAAACCUGUGUUAAAGACCACCUCUGAACAGAGGCCACCUGACUCUAAAGACCACAUGUUUUGUUUCCAGUUUUAACAUUUAUUUAGCCUGUGACUACC